RNAcentral lists this transfer RNA (72 nucleotides) under Ignavibacteriota bacterium. RNAcentral describes it as "Ignavibacteriae bacterium (groundwater metagenome) tRNA-OTHER". It matches the Rfam family "tRNA". From Rfam's summary of the family: Transfer RNA (tRNA) molecules are approximately 80 nucleotides in length. Their secondary structure includes four short double-helical elements and three loops (D, anti-codon, and T loops). Lineage: Bacteria; Pseudomonadati; Ignavibacteriota. The record is from RNAcentral.
GCUAGCGAAUUAAUGUUUUCUGGUAAUUGAUUCGUAAUCAGCAGGUCACGAGUUCAAGUCUCGUCGCUAGCU